Molecule: unclassified non-coding RNA, 344 nt
Filed under: fungal sp.
Lineage: Eukaryota; Fungi
Also listed under: 1 other name
Description: partial internal transcribed spacer region
Rfam family: Eukaryotic small subunit ribosomal RNA (bases 1-46)
Source: RNAcentral
AAGUCGUAACAAGGUAUCCGUAGGUGAACCUGCGGAUGGAUCAUUAACGAUACGUGUUCUUUUUUUCUUCACGGAAAAAAAGCACGUCAUACCAACCAAACCUGUGCGAGGAGAAACUGUUCGCAGUUGCUCCGUUUCUUUCUAUUUCUUUUCUUUAUACAAACCUAAAAACCCCAUUUCUUCGUUUUCGAAGGACUGAAACCACACUGUUUCAAAUCGAAAGUAAGCGUCAACGAGCCUAUCUCGUGUCUAUUAGACUUCGGUCGAACGGACGAGCGUUCGGUUGGCACUUCGAUUAGAUAUGAAAUCCUGUACAACUCUUAGCAACGGAUAUCUUGGUUCUC